This 2995-nucleotide ribosomal RNA is filed under the name bacterium. Its description in RNAcentral is "23S ribosomal RNA". It matches the Rfam family "Bacterial large subunit ribosomal RNA". The record is from RNAcentral.
AUAAAAGCAAUUUAAAGCAUAUGGUGAAUGCCUUGGCACUUUGGAGCCGAAGAAGGACGCGGAAGUCUGCGAUAAGCCUCGAGGAGCCGACAACGGGCGUUUAUACUCGGGGAUUUCCGAAUGGGGAAACCCUACCAUGUAAAACAUGGCAACCUCUUGCUGAAUUCAUAGGCAAGAUGGGGGGAACUCAGCGAACUGAAACAUCUUAGGUAGCUGGAGGAACAAAAAAUACAUGUCCGCCAUCCGGCGGGCGCAUUCCCCAAGUAGUGGCGAGCGAAAGGGGAUCAGCCUAAACCCUGCACCAUUCGGUGCAGGGGGUUAUAAGGAUCGACUACCACUUCGAGUGGAAAAGAGUUUCUACAAAAACAACUUCCCUAGGAGAAUGGUCUGGAAAGGCCAGCCAGAGAAAGUUACAGCCUUGUACUUGAAAGGGGUUGAACUCUUGUUGAUUUCUUGAGUACCACGAGGCACGCUAACCUUGUGGGAAUUAUCCCGGUCCAUCGGGAAAGGCUAAAUACUCCAAGUGACCGAAAGCGUACAAGUACCGUGAGGGAAAGGUGAAAAGAACCCCGGUGAGGGGAGUGAAAUAGAAUCUGAAACCAUAUGCUGACAAGCAGACGGGGCCCGCCUUAGGCGGGUGACGUCGUGCCUAUUGAAGAAUGAUCCGGCGAGUGUGUUCUGUUCAGCGUGUUUAAGGCCAAAACGGCCGUAAGCAAAGGGAAACCGAGUCUGAUAAGGGCUACGCCUCGUAUAACGAGGCGGUUGCUGACAGAACUAGACCCGAAGCCAGGUGAGCUAACCGUGGGCAGGGUGAAGUCCCCCGAAAGAGGGAUGGAGGCCCGAACUGUUGUCUGUUGCAAAAGGCUCGGAUGACCUGCGGUUAGGUGUAAUAUGCCAAUCGAACCUGGCGAUAGCUGGUUCUCCCCGAAAUAUAUGUAAGUAUAGCCUUCCCAUUCUACUAGGGGGGUAGAGUUACUGAAAGGAACGGUAGGCCCGCAAGGGUACUCCUUCCUACCAAACUCCGAAUCCUCUAGGUAUAGGUGGGAGGAGUCAGUCUGUGAGAGCUAAGUCCCAUGGUCGAAAGGGAAACAGCCCAGACUGUCGGAUAAGGUCCCUAAAUGUAAGCUUAGUGGCAAAGGAAGUUUUCUGCCAGAGACACGUAGGAGGUCGGCUUAGAAGUAGCCAUCCUUUAAAGAAAGUGUAACAACUCACUACCCGAUGGCAGAGGGCGCCGAAAAUUACUCGGGGCUUAAGCUUACUACCGAAUCCGCAGCUCUGAAGUGGCGCGCAAGCGCCCGCUUCAGGGGGUAGGGGAGCGUUGAAGCAGCAGUGAAGGUGAUCCGUAAGGAUUGCUGGAGCGGCUUCAAGUGAGAAUGCCGGAAUGAGUAGCGUUUCCGUGUGAAAAUCACGGACGCUGUAUGCCCAAGGUUUCCUCUGCAACGUUCAUCGGCGGAGGGUUAGUCGGUCCUAAGGCGAGGCCGAAAGGCGUAGCUAAUGGACAAGCCGUUAAAAUUCGGCUACUACCUUUGGAUCGUUAGUACGAUGGGGUGACAGAGUUUGAUACACCAAGCUUCGCGUGGAAUGUGGAGUCUAAACAGUAAGCUAGUCCCGAGCAGGCAAAUCCACUUGGGGCGUUUUGACGCGAACUGCGGGAAAGCUCGACGCAAGAAGGGCAAUUUGGUGAGGUUAAGUUCUCAGGAAAAGCCUCUAAGGAGAUCAAAAGGUAUCCGUACCGCAAACCGACACAGGUGGGCUGGUCGAGUAGACUAAAGCGAUCGGGAGAACGAUGGUUCAGGAAUUCGGCAAUUUAACCCCGUAACUUCGGGAAAAGGGGUCCCUCCUUCGCCGCAAGGCUUCGGAGGGCGCAGUGAAAUGGCUCAAGCGACUGUUUAACAAAAACACAGGUCUCUGCUUAAACCGUAAGGUGAAGUAUAGGGGCUGAGGCCUGCCCAGUGCCCGUAGGUUAAAUUCGCUGGUGAAAUCGCCGCAAGGCGAUAAGCUGGCGAGCUAAGCCCGGGUGAACGGCAGCAGUAACUAUAACUGUUCUAAGGUAGCGUAGUCCCUUGUCGUGUAAGUUACGACCCGCAUGAAAGGCGUCACGACUUGAGCACUGUCUUAACCAUCGGCCCGGCGAAAUUGAAGUGGCUGUGAAGAUGCGGCCUUCCCAUCAUUGGACAAAAAGACCCCGUGGAGCUUUACUGUAGCUUGGUACUGAAAUGAGCUUUGGAUUGUGUAGAAUAGGUGGGACCCUGCGCCGCAAGGUGCGGGGGUCAGUGAAAUACCACUCUUUCCGAAUUUUGUUUCUUACCCCUAUCCCUCAAUCGGGAGGGGGGACAAUGCCUGGUGGGCAGUUUGACUGGGACGGUCACCUGAUAAAGUGUAACUCAGGCGCCCAAAGGUUCCCUUGGUCCCUAUGGAAACGGGACUGUAAGCGUAAAGGUAUAAGGGAGCUUGACUGCAAGACCUACAAGUCGCGCAGGGACGAAAGUCGGGCUUAGUGAUCCUCCGCAGCGUAAUGGUGCGCUCGGAGCUUAUCGGAUAAAAGCUACCCCGGGGAUAACAGGCUGAUCGGAUCCGAGAGUCCAUAUCGACGAUCCGGUUUGGCACCUCGAUGUCGGCUCAUCACAUCCUGGGGCUGGAGAAGGUCCCAAGGGUCCGGCUGUUCGCCGGUUAAAGUGGUACGCGAGCUGGGUUCAGAACGUCGUAAGACAGUUCGGUCUCUAUCCAUGAUGGGCGUUCGAUUUUUGCGGGGAGCUGUCGAUAGUACGAGAGGACCUCGAUGGACGAACCUCUGGUGUGCCAGUUGUCCUUCCAAGGGCACUGCUGGGUAGCCACGUUCGGCAGCGAUAAGAGCUGAAAGCAUCUAAGCUCGAAGCGCCCCCCAAGAUUAAAAAUCGUCACAAGAUCCCUAGGAGACUACUAGGUUGAUAGGCGGUAGGUGUAAGCACCGUAAGGUGCGAGCCGAGCCGUACUAAUAGAUCGAAAGCUUUUAGUC